AGUCGAACGGUAACAUUUCUAGCUUGCUAGAAGAUGACGAGUGGCGGACGGGUGAGUAAUGCUUGGGAACUUGCCUUUGCGAGGGGGAUAACAGUUGGAAGCGACUGCUAAUACCGCAUAAUGUCUUCGGACCAAACGGGGCUUUUAGCUCCGGCGCAAAGAGAGGCCCAAGUGAGAUUAGCUAGUUGGUAAGGUAACGGCUUACCAAGGCGACGAUCUCUAGCUGUUCUGAGAGGAAGAUCAGCCACACUGGGACUGAGACACGGCCCAGACUCCUACGGGAGGCAGCAGUGGGGAAUAUUGCACAAUGGGGGAAACCCUGAUGCAGCCAUGCCGCGUGUGUGAAGAAGGCCUUCGGGUUGUAAAGCACUUUCAGUUGUGAGGAAAAGUUAGUAGUUAAUACCUGCUAGCCGUGACGUUAACAACAGAAGAAGCACCGGCUAACUCCGUGCCAGCAGCCGCGGUAAUACGGAGGGUGCGAGCGUUAAUCGGAAUUACUGGGCGUAAAGCGCACGCAGGCGGUUUGUUAAGCUAGAUGUGAAAGCCCCGGGCUCAACCUGGGAUGGUCAUUUAGAACUGGCAGACUAGAGUCUUGGAGAGGGGAGUGGAAUUCCAGGUGUAGCGGUGAAAUGCGUAGAUAUCUGGAGGAACAUCAGUGGCGAAGGCGACUCCCUGGCCAAAGACUGACGCUCAUGUGCGAAAGUGUGGGUAGCGAACAGGAUUAGAUACCCUGGUAGUCCACACCGUAAACGCUGUCUACUAGCUGUGUGUGAAUUUAAUUCGUGCGUAGCGAAGCUAACGCGCUAAGUAGACCGCCUGGGGAGUACGGCCGCAAGGUUAAAACUCAAAUGAAUUGACGGGGGCCCGCACAAGCGGUGGAGCAUGUGGUUUAAUUCGAUGCAACGCGAAGAACCUUACCUACACUUGACAUGCAGAGAACUUUCUAGAGAUAGAUUGGUGCCUUCGGGAACUCUGACAC
This 979-nucleotide ribosomal RNA is filed under the name uncultured Alteromonas sp. Its description in RNAcentral is "bacterial SSU rRNA". It matches the Rfam family "Bacterial small subunit ribosomal RNA", at positions 60 to 1035 of the family's 1533-position model. Lineage: Bacteria; Pseudomonadati; Pseudomonadota; Gammaproteobacteria; Alteromonadales; Alteromonadaceae. The record is from RNAcentral.